AAGGCAGAGAGGAGGAGGGCUAGGGGAGGACACAAUGGAAACUAAGGGGGAGCUGCCAUCUUUAUUGUGGAUACUGGCAGGAGACAGGUGGCGAUACUCAACCGUCAUCUUUACUGAGGGCACAGCGUCAGACUUUGAGAGAAAAAUACUUGAGUUUUAGAACAAAGUUCCAAUCACCGCCUCGCUCUUCUUCACACAUCUACCUCAGCGUUUCAGACUGCGGCACUGAAAUAUUUCCCCGCAACAUUUCAGACUUGAGCCUGAACACUGGGAUUUUUCCCAGUAGGAAAGGGAUUUUUCUGCAGCUGCUGGCCCAGGGGAGCGGGGAAAUCCAGUCAGCGAGCACUUUCCUCUACUUUGUGUCACUGUAACAUAAGGACACUGUGGGGUGGGAUGUGCCCAGCUCUCCCCUCAGGAUCAGCUGCAGCAUUUGGUUUCCUCGGCUGUUGCAAGUGUGUCACGUUUCCCUCGGUCACCAGCCAGGCUGCCUCAAGGGGAUUCUCACCUGGCUGGGAAAUAGGCCACUGAUGGGGCUGGCACAGGCUAUGGGCUCGGUGUACCUCCCCGCAGCUCUGCUCUCUGUUGGGAACAGAUGAACGCUGUCAGCCUGCGUGUGCCCCAGGCCCGGCCCCAGGUGUGUGUGGUUGUGGUGGGCCUCCCAUCCCUGCUCCUAUUGCUCUUCUCUGGAUGCACAUGAGUGCAUGUGGAGCAGCUGUUGGUGCCCGAGACAGCAAGGAAAUGUACUGCUUGGUACAACUAAGCUCUUAAUCUCAUCUCCUUUCCAGUCAUCCACGUCUGAUGCUUUGCAGCUGGGGUCUGACGGCCCUAAGAUAUGCUUGGUCCCUUCAACUCCCCCACUGCCUUCCGGAGGCAUUUGUCACCUGAUGUGACCGGCUCCCCUUUUGCAGUGGCCUCACCUUCUGUCCCGCUGAAGCUUGGUGUGCAAAACCAGGUCUUCCAUAUGGCACCAGGAUCCACUCAUCCCAUCUACAGUGUGCCUGCACAUCCUUACAGAGCAGAAAUGAGCGUUCACUUCAUGAAAUGAGUGAACAUUUACUUAGGAUACCAGCGUGCUGUUGGUUAAGGUUACAGUAGGAUAUUAUAUAUUUAAUGCAUGCCAUUAAAUCACCAUCCAUCAGCCACAAGUGCUGAGUCUGCAGAGUCCCAGCAUAUUCCUUUCUGAAAGGAAAUCAGAAGGGCCCUCCUUGUCAACACUUCAUGAAAUGGUUGUCUCACAGACAACGGCAUGCAGAAAUAUACACACAUACAUACGCAGAUGUGAUGGAAAACUUCCCUGGGUUACUGCACUGCCCAAAGUUUUAAAAUUUGCAGCUUCAAGAGGCGAGGAAAGUAAAUGUAUAGUCUAAAAGCCAUUAACAACUUGUGAUAAUCUUCUUAAUGUUAUUUAACCUUAUCUUAAUUAGCAGUACAUUUGGGGAGAUUAUGGAAAAUCCUUGUACGAGCAAGCCAUCCUGGAAUGGUGUUCUCCUACUUCAGAAGCCAGACUGAGAUUCUUGCUGCUUCAGAAAGGAAAUGCUAAAGGGAUUCCAGGAAAUACAUACUUAUGGACAGUGCAAUGGUAUGACCCAUGGAACAGGUUGCCCAAAGAAGUUGUGGAUGCCCCAUCCCUGGAGGAGUUCAAGACCAGGCUGGAUGGGGCCCUGGGCAGCCUGAUCUGGUGGGGGGUAACCAGCCAGGUCCCUUCCAGCUGAGCCAUUCUAUGAUUCUAUGUUGACCACAAAGUGUGAGGGAGCAGGGUGAUAGCCUGCUGCUCAGUGCACUGGGGCAGAAGCAUGGUGGUGGCACAAGGAUAGAUGUCACCAUCAGCUGAACCUGGCUUGCUUUCUGUCCUCAAGUCAAGUCCCUACACUGGGGACCUAGGUCAGCAUUCAGUUUUGCUCGCUCCAGAGCAAAAUUCCUCCUCAGCUAAGUCAAGCAGAAUCAAACUGUUCUGCUAAUGUAAAUCAGGUCUCAAUAAACUGCCUGGAAUUUCA
Long non-coding RNA from Numida meleagris (helmeted guineafowl), 1994 nucleotides. RefSeq lists it as uncharacterized. The transcript is spliced from 2 exons. NCBI's taxonomy places the organism in Eukaryota, Metazoa, Chordata, Aves, Galliformes, Numididae. The record is from RefSeq and is a predicted model, not a curated record.